UACGAAGGGGGCUAGCGUUGUUCGGAAUGACUGGGCGUAAAGGGCGCGUAGGCGGUUCACCAAGUUGGGGGUGAAAGCCCGGGGCUUAACCUCGGAAUUGCCUCCAAAACUGGUCGGCUUGAGUGUGGAAGAGGGUUGUGGAAUUCCCAGUGUAGAGGUGAAAUUCGUAGAUAUUGGGAAGAACACCAGUGGCGAAGGCGACAACCUGGUCCAUUACUGACGCUGAGGCGCGACAGCGUGGGGAGCAAACAGGAUUAGAUACCCUGGUAGUCCACGCCGUAAACGAUGAGUGCUGGAUGUUGGACGGUUGCCGUUCAGUGUCGAAGUUAACGCGAUAAGCACUCCGCCUGGGGAGUACGGCCGCAAGGUUGAA
This 373-nucleotide ribosomal RNA is filed under the name uncultured bacterium. RNAcentral's name for it is "bacterial SSU rRNA". It matches the Rfam family "Bacterial small subunit ribosomal RNA", at positions 524 to 898 of the family's 1533-position model. The record is from RNAcentral.